GGCCACAGCCAUAUCACCCUGCAGCACCAGACCGGUUACUCACUGAAGCUUAGCAGGGCAGAGCCUGGUCAUACCUGGAUGGGAGACCACAUGGGAAAACUACAGUAGGUUGCUAUUGGAA
Molecule: ribosomal RNA, 121 nt
Filed under: Danio rerio (zebrafish)
Lineage: Eukaryota; Metazoa; Chordata; Actinopteri; Cypriniformes; Danionidae
Source: RNAcentral